RNAcentral lists this ribosomal RNA (472 nucleotides) under uncultured organism. RNAcentral's name for it is "partial 16S ribosomal RNA". It matches the Rfam family "Bacterial small subunit ribosomal RNA", at positions 334 to 797 of the family's 1533-position model. The record is from RNAcentral.
CACUCCUGCGGGAGGCAGCAGUGGGGAAUUUUGGACAAUGGGCGAAAGCCUGAUCCAGCCAUGCCGCGUGCAGGAUGAAGGCCUUCGGGUUGUAAACUGCUUUUGUACGGAACGAAACGGCCUUUUCUAAUAAAGAGGGCUAAUGACGGUACCGUAAGAAUAAGCACCGGCUAACUACGUGCCAGCAGCCGCGGUAAUACGUAGGGUGCAAGCGUUAAUCGGAAUUACUGGGCGUAAAGCGUGCGCAGGCGGUUAUGUAAGACAGUUGUGAAAUCCCCGGGCUCAACCUGGGAACUGCAUCUGUGACUGCAUAGCUAGAGUACGGUAGAGGGGGAUGGAAUUCCGCGUGUAGCAGUGAAAUGCGUAGAUAUGCGGAGGAACACCGAUGGCGAAGGCAAUCCCCUGGACCUGUACUGACGCUCAUGCACGAAAGCGUGGGGAGCAAACAGGAUUAGAUACCCCGGUAGUCCCA